This 303-nucleotide signal recognition particle RNA is filed under the name Chlorocebus sabaeus (green monkey). RNAcentral describes it as "Metazoan signal recognition particle RNA". It matches the Rfam family "Metazoan signal recognition particle RNA". From Rfam's summary of the family: The signal recognition particle (SRP) is a universally conserved ribonucleoprotein. It is involved in the co-translational targeting of proteins to membranes. The record is from Rfam by way of RNAcentral. Lineage: Eukaryota; Metazoa; Chordata; Mammalia; Primates; Cercopithecidae.
UCUGGGCACAGUGGUGCAUACCUAUAGUACCAGCCACUCAGGAGGCUGAGGCAGGAGGAUCACUUGAGUCACAGGAAUUCUGGGUUUUAGUGCAUUAUGCCAAUUGGGUAUCUGCUUUAACUUCAGCAUUAGUGCAGUGACCCCUCAGAAGCAGGGGACCACCAGGUUACCCAAGGAGGGUGAACCGGCCCGGGUAGCAAAUAGAGCAGAUCAAAUAACUCUCCUAUGCUGAUCAGUAGUGGGAUUGCACCUGUAAAAAGCCACUGCACUGCAGCCUGGACAACAUAGUGAAACCCGUCUCUU